Molecule: ribosomal RNA, 397 nt
Filed under: uncultured Pseudomonadales bacterium
Lineage: Bacteria; Pseudomonadati; Pseudomonadota; Gammaproteobacteria; Pseudomonadales
Description: bacterial SSU rRNA
Rfam family: Bacterial small subunit ribosomal RNA
Source: RNAcentral
AUGGAUUGGUGCCUUCGGGAACAUUGAGACAGGUGCUGCAUGGCUGUCGUCAGCUCGUGGUCGUGAGAUGUUGGGUUAAGUCCCGUAACGAGCGCAACCCUUGUCCUUAGUUACCAGCACGUAAUGGUGGGCACUCUAAGGAGACUGCCGGUGACAAACCGGAGGAAGGUGGGGAUGACGUCAAGUCAUCAUGGCCCUUACGGCCUGGGCUACACACGUGCUACAAUGGUCGGUACAGAGGGUUGCCAAGCCGCGAGGUGGAGCUAAUCCCAGAAAACCGAUCGUAGUCCGGAUCGCAGUCUGCAACUCGACUGCGNGAAGUCGGAAUCGCUAGUAAUCGCGAAUCAGAAUGUCGCGGUGAAUACGUUCCCGGGCCUUGUACACACCNCCCCUCUCU